GGAGUAAGUGAUAAAGACUUCAAUUCACCAUCAACUUUUCAGUAUAGCCAACUUUACAACAGGAUAGCCAAGUCUACUGUUAUGUGGGCCUAGAUUUUGUCAGAAUGAUUUUCAGAUGCAGGCUCAGACCUUCUUGGAAAGCAAAGCCACAUAACAAAACGUGUUGCAUCACCUGAUUGGAAGUGCACCAGUUAUAAACAGAGCGAAGAAAUGUGGGGCACAUUUUGAAGAGCUCUCCCUCCUUCGAAAAGCCAGAGCCAUCAGGAAGCCAAAGCCUACCCUUGCUGAUCAGAGUCACCCCUUUUCUUGAGAAUACAGGCUGCUGCCAUCUGGUUGCAGCCGAGAAGAGACUGAGUGGCAUUAUCUGCAGAUCAGCCAACUCCCUGUAACAAGAAAGAGAAUCAAAGCAGCAGAAGAGAGACAGGGAGGGGCACUGGGGCCGCCGAGGUGCAUGGUGGAGAACUUCAAAGGAGCAGCUGGCAGACACACAAGAGGAG
Cheilinus undulatus (humphead wrasse) is the source of this 497-nucleotide long non-coding RNA. RefSeq lists it as uncharacterized. NCBI's taxonomy places the organism in Eukaryota, Metazoa, Chordata, Actinopteri, Labriformes, Labridae. The transcript has 4 exons. The record is from RefSeq and is a predicted model, not a curated record.